This is a long non-coding RNA of Passer montanus (Eurasian tree sparrow), 10231 nucleotides long. RefSeq lists it as uncharacterized. The transcript has 3 exons. The record is from RefSeq and is a predicted model, not a curated record. Lineage: Eukaryota; Metazoa; Chordata; Aves; Passeriformes; Passeridae.
AGUUACUGGUAGUAACUGUGUGUUACUUUCUGCCCCUGCCUUCCUGUGCUGCAGUACACCUUUCCCUUUCACGCUAAUGCAACUACCUGGAACAGCAUAUGGAGCUAUUGGUGUCUUAAUCAGGGUGUUAACACACACACCCUGCCCUGGGUGUGUUUUUAUGUGGGUCACUGCACAUGUUUGGAGGAGGAGGUUUGUAGUUCUGUGGCUUUCUAGAACUUGAAUUAGGUUUGCAAACUGGUUUAGAGUGUUUUCACUAUGGCACAAAAAACAGGUGACUGGGUGCAUGCCAGAAGUCCAAAACUGUUGCCUUGUUGCUGAAGUCUGACUCAUUAAAUCACGCAUCUAAGGACGCUGUUAAUUUUGUGGGGGAGGAGCAGCAGUGUCCCGUGUGCAUGUGAGUGCUUUUGUUAACCAUGUUUUUCUGUGUUAGGUCUCAUGACACAUCCUUUUUGUGGUUUUGCUGUGUGUAGCCUUCUGACCAGGCAGCUCAAGCGACCAUGCUGUCUGUAAGCAGCUCUAGAGAUUGUUCAGUGUACUCCAGACAAAUCCUUGUGCAAACAGAGCUGGAGUAAGAUGUGGAACACUUUUCUCCUAAUUUAGGUGGGUUUUUUUGUUUGGUUUUUUUUAUUACUGAGACUACCAAUAUAUUUUCCUUUGAUGGAACUAAUUCUUACACAUAGGGAGUUGAACAUUACCCCUGCACACAUAGCCAAAUACAAUUAUAUAUUCAAUGGCAGAGUAGAUCAGCAAAAGAGAGAAUUGGGUACUAAAAUGUUGCACAUAUGAUAGGUAAAAAGCUAAUCCCUAUUGUCAUUUUUGCAAUGCUUCUGCUUCCAGUGAAGGGUGCUGUGCUGUGAGCUCUUACUAUGCAACUACGAUUUCCUCUCUCUGUUCUGAUAAUGGUGAAUGUUGCCCUCUGAUGAGGACAAUGAGGUGACAGCUGUUUCCGAGAGACCUGCAGUGGCUUCACUGUACACGUUCUGCCUCGGUGGAUGUCAGCUAAGAGAGUAAUUGCAUCCCCCAAGAGUUAGACUUGCUGCUGUUAACCUUUCUGGAGAAACAAACAUGAAGUAGAGCCACGUGCAGUCCUUACAUGAGCUGGCAGCCAGGAAACAUGCACCCUGAACUUCCCCUGUGCACUGGCAGUGCUUUAUGUGUGCAACCUCCAGGCUCCUAGGGACAUGGCUGUAAAGUGAAACCCGGGCUGGAUGCAGCUGUAAGGGGAGAAAGGGAAUAGCAGAGCUUCGCCUUGCAGAACCCGAGGCACCCUGCAACACAAACAGGCACAGAGAGGAGCCUACCUCGGUAUCCACACUGCUUCCCUCGGGUCACUGCUCGAGUCUCUAGGGUAGCUGAAUUCUACAUGGUGCUGCAAAAUGCACGUCAGGGGCGUUGAUCUCUGCUGGCUCUGAAACAGGAGAGUGCUGUAGCUGCCUUCGCUGCUGGCCCCUGUGCCCGUGGGUAUCCACCAGCAGAGGGUGGCUCAAAGACCAUUUAUGUAUUCCUGUAAUGUUUAAACACUCUACAGGGUGAAUAUUGAGCGUGGCAGCCUCAGUGCUUCCUUCAGUGCCUAAUACUUCAUCUUUAGUUAGUAAUUACAAGAAAGAAGUAUCUAGCAAAGAUUUUUGUUUCAGCCUUUCCUCUCUGAUUUGUUUUUGUUUUUUUCUCCUCUGACAUUAUUCUUCCAGAUAAGAAUAACCAAAUACAGUUAAGUUUAGGAAGACAGGUUUGAAGUAAUGGUUUUGAUUGGGAACUACUUCUGCCCAGGAUCAAGGUAUUUGAAAUAAAUAAUUGCAUAACUUGUCAGUGCUCUAGCAUUUAUUAGUGAUUGGGACAUAAGACACUAAUAGUGAAUGGAAGUAAUUUCCCUGAACUUCAAACACCUAACAGAUGCCCAGUGUGCUUGGGCUUUCCUUGCACACUGUGGAGAGCACUGCACAUAUCCCAAGAUUGAUUUCAGCACGUCUUACCCUAAUUCAAGAUCUCAGUGUAGAGAACACAGGCUAGCAGGAGCCUAAGCCCAAACAGCACUUGUGUGUGUAUAAUUAUUCUCACGUGGAGUCCCCCUAUGUGCGACAGUUAAUGACUAGGUGGUUAAUUAUGUGAGUAGUUUAUGUAGGAAUGGGUUCAAUUCUUGUGUCUGUGUUGCAGGGAGACUAAUUUGUCUCUUGAGAUGUUUGUUCAUUGACCACAGAGGAAGCAGAGGUUAGACUAGCCCAAAGUUAGAUAUCUGACCUCCACAUCUAGCAGAGAUACAGCCCAGCCGCUGUGCCUGCAGGCUGCUGCUGCUAACCUCGGGUAAUACUCUGCUCCAUCUUUGAAGGCCUGCACACACUUGAGUAGAUUUUAUAGAUCUGAUGUCACAUCUAAGGGAAUAAAGUGUAACAGUUAAGGUAAUUAGUAGACAGUUGUUAACUUUUCUGACAUCAGUGGAAUUCCACAUGGGACCAUGUGUGUGUGAAUAUGUAGUUCAGGCUGUUGUUGACUGGAGACCUGUUGAGAGGCUUUACAAAAUAAAAGGUAGUAGUAAAUUAUGAUGGAAAAUGUUUCAUGUUCUAAUAUAUAGUGAUUUAUGUUCUGAAUUAGAUGCUCUGUUCAGAAUUUUCCUACAUAUAUUUAAGUAGUUUUAAAAGGUUUGAACUAAAAUUCAAACAUUUCUGUUCUUGAUUUCAGUUUAUUUGCUGCUCAGAAAUUAUUUUCAAAAAGGAAUUCCUAUCCAAAGUUCUUCAAUUAAAAAACCCAAACACCUGAGUACCAGCGGUUUUGAACAGUUGCAGAAGUAUAGCACAGAUGCAGCCUUAGUAUUUACUAGAGUAGGUAAAAUUCCUCUCUGUUUGCACAAAUAGAGCAACUUAGGGACCGACUCAAGCAAAAAAAUGAAGAGGCAUCUUCACAAAGGCUACAAAAAGCAGAUGACCUCUGGCUUUCUCUUCCACAGAAGACAGGCAAUACCAAAUAUGAAUAGGAUUCACUUCCUCCUUCCUGCUGAGUGGCAGGUAUCAAGCCUUUUGAACAUGUUUCCAAAAGCAUAUCCAUAGUUCAAGAAGUGUUUUAUGUAUGUAAACAUAGAGACAUGCCACAACAAUGAUUAAGGGAUUAGAGGAAAAGGGUUAGGAUGAUAAGAGGAUUAUUGCAGACACAAGGGUGUGUUCAUGACACCAGCAUACACUGUGGUUCUUCUGGAAGUCUCCAGUCUGCACCAGACUAUACAGAGCUUUCUGCAGGAUGUAAGCGUGCCCAGCACUUGUGCUCUGCUUGAGGUUAAGAUGGAAAAUCCUGUGUGUGAUUCCUUGCUGUAAUGACCUGUUUGUAUACAGAUGGGCUUUCAAGUUAUGGAAAUGACCUAUGACUUAUGAAAUAGCCUCUUCCUGUUUGCAAUGAUGCAGUGAAAUAUUGAGUCAUCUCUAACCCUUGAGCCUUCCCUCUACCAGCUCUUUGUUGUUUGCAACCUGUCUCAUGGGAUUUGGAUUGAUGAUACUGGACAACUCUUUUCACUUAAACUGGUCCCAGUUUUGCCAGUUUUGGAUGAAUUACUGCUCUUUUCUAGGAAAAAGAGUUGACCCACAUCACUGCUGAUUUAAAUUACAAUAACUUACUGAAAAAUUACCUGUGUAUAGUUAGGUUUAAAUUAAUGAAUUCUUGAUUUGGGGGAUUAAAUACUUGUAUUUACUGUAGGUACCUAACUCUCCUGCCACAGCGUAAUGAGUCCAGGGACCCACAAAGUCCUGGAUUCAGAUGGAAAGUACAUACUGUAAUGCUCCACAAGAUUAUAUUUCACUGCCUUUUGGAGAGAGGCCCUAAUGCCACAUGAAAUCUCAGCAAUAUGACAUCUGACCCCUCAAGGGAUGAAAUAGGUUAGAUGCCUGAAAACAUAACACAAAAUCUUUUCUGAGGUAUUUUGUUGGGUAUUUUUAUCCUUUCUCUACAGAAUAUAGCAAAGGCUUAAGUAGAGCAGGUUGGAUGGCCCUAAGUUUAGUUUAACUUUGACAUCUUGGCUGAAGAGCUGCAUUUCUAGUGGCUGUGCAGACUGCUGGGUGUGCUGCCAAAUAGCUGGAGAUUGCAGAGUGAUGUUGUUGUUAAUUUGUUUCUGCCAGAGAGACAUUCCUGUUCAUCUUUGGGACAGCAUCAUAAGUUCUGUCUUGGUUUGAAAAGAUAGGUGUCUGCCAAGGAAGGCAGGAGACUCCCUUGAAAUGGAAAAUGUAAACCCCCUCCCUCUGAAUUAUUAUAAUUUUGAAAUUAAGGGGUUCUCAGGCAAAGAUAUGGGAAUAAGAAUAACAGUUACUAGGAAAAUUAAAAUAAAAAUGCAGUAGUUUAAUAAAAAAGGUACUGACAGAGUCAGAAUAUAACCUGACAUCCUGUGGGUCAGGAUGUUGGUAGCAGUCCCAUUAAAUGGUGGCUGCAGUCCUCCUGGAGUGGCAGAUGUGGUUCUGUUGAAGCAGUGAUCCUGCAGAAGGGUGCAGUUUUCCUCUGAAGGUCCAGUGGUGGUGCAGACAGGUCUAGUCUUCCUCUGGGAAUCCAGUGGGAAAAGUUUAAACCACCUGGUUUUAACAGCUGGUAACAGAAUACAUACUUGUGGUUACAUCUUGCAUUGCAGCCUAAGACAGUCACCUAUUGAUCCUGCCCAUCGCUGGACCCGGUGUGAACUCAAGGAUAAAGUAUGUGCCAAGUUAAAGCCACCGUGCCUUCCUAGAAGCAGCUCACUUUAGCUGUUAUCCUACAAAGAAGGAGGAAAGAAGGUGGAACAAACCAAAUUACAUCUGUGGGGCAAAAGCCAACAGUUUUCCAGGUUUGAAAUGCAAUGCCGUUAGAUAUUGACAACUGACAGUUGCUUCAUCAAGGCACAGAAUUUUGCAAAGCCUUUGACAAGUUAAAUACAGAUGCAACAUGAGGCAUUUUCUUGUGCAACAUUUUUUAUGGCUAUUCUUGGUUUUCCCAGUGAGAUCUUACUUUCUUAGAGCAGAGAUUUGUCACCAGUUAAUUGAUUUCUCUGAACUUUCUGCCAAAAUCAACAAGGAAGGAAUUGGCAGGAUGGACUUUAGAAACAGGGAAGUUGUGACAUGUUUGAGGAAAAUGCAUGCUCAGAGGAGGGUCUGCUUCUCUUUCAAAAAGCAGUUUCCUAUCAGCAAAACAAGCUCACCUCUUUUCUGCAUGUAUCUUGUCUCUGCCUUGCAGCAAUGCUAUGGGGGUGCUUCAUCUUGUGAGAAGUGAAGGGAAAGAGAUUUACUAAUGAAAAACCUUGCACAUGUUUUUACAACCCCAGUCAUUGUACUGAGUUGAGCUAAGGCAUGCAUUAAAGCAAGCUGAAACUCUAAGGAUUAGAAAUCUUCGCAGUAAUGACAGGGUCUGUUUUUCUACUGACAUGCUGCAGCUUCCAUGGUAAAGGAAAGAAGUACAUAUUGGUCCAACAGUGCAGAAAAAUAUCACCCUGCUGCCUGGUCAUGGGUGAUGUGGGGCAGACAUGUCAAUGUCGUGAGAGAAAUCAACAGUGCAGAACUUGGGUGGUUGCAAACUGCCAGUUUUUAAUACUGAAAGAUCAAACUUCAAGCAGCGGAAAAUGUGAGGCAGUGCCCAGAGCAGUUCUAUCUGUCAGAAAUAUAAGUAAACACAAGUAGCCAGGAGUUCAAGAUCACUUAAAACAGAGAUUAUACCACUUCUCUCUCCAUUCUUCUCCUCACCCUUCCCUGAAACACUACAACCAAAACCAACAGCACACCAUGGCUUCCCAAGCCUCAAUAUUUACUCACACAUGAAGAACAUGUGAAGCUUUUUAAAAUCCCCUUGACAACUUGUACAAGAAAACUGUUUAGCUAUGAGUGGAAUGUCCUCUUACAAAAUGCCAAACAGCCUUGUGUUUAUUAGGCCAAAAGCUAACAAGUUGAACUGUAAGCUCUUAUUACUUGUUCUGUUCCUCUACAGUAAGAAUCUGGAGUGCUUUAAAAAUGCUAAGAGCGUGACAGUGAUUGACAAGAAAAGAAGGAAUGUAAGGACAUACUGUGCUUUUUAAAAAUUUAAUUAUUUCUGUAAAACAAAAUUGAUAGUGAUGGAGGUCCUGCAUUUGCAGUUUGAGCCAGGAGCCAGGACUGUUUUUUCUGCCAUGACCCUUACACACUGCCUUCCACCCUUAUGCAGGAACACCAAAUUUGGUAAAAUCCCAGCGUAACUUUAAGGAGAGAGAUCCUAAGAAAUUAAACAGCUGCUUGAACCAUUCAUGUUUUAACUUUUUCUCAGUGAAAGCAUGUCUUAAUUUUAGUGUGUGCAGUGCAUGUGUGAGGCUCUGUCAUUUUACUGGAUGUGUCCAGUGAUGGAUCUCCAAGCAUACAGGUUUGGUUCCAGUUCACAUGAUCACUUUGUCAUUGAAUUAAGUAUGUCUGGUAUGGAGUUCAUAUGAGUUUUUAACAGUUGGUAGCUGAUAUCUAAUCUGACACAAAGUGACAAUGGCACAGAGAGAGCAGUAGUUUUAAUCGCAUUGUGUCAGUCAGAAAUCAGCAAAAUUUUAGAGCAAUUUUAACCGACAGUGUGAGUGAAAGCUGGAUCUGCACCUUGGAUAGUAGGUUAUGGUAUAUCUGGUCCUAUGCCAAGGGCCCUAAUGUUGGAUUUUUUAAGCCAUUAAGCCAUGGCCAGAGAGGAGGAGGGUGAAUUGUGUCUCUUACAGUUGCUGAAAAAGGAAAACACUGCCACUGGUAUGUUCUUCUCAGUGAAAAAGCCAGUGCUGUGUGAAAACUGCUGUUGGAGAUGAUUCAACCAUCAUCCAUCUGCAUAUUAAAUCUUCAAAAUACUGUAACUGCAUAGAGACGAAAAAUACAAUGUGAAACUGCUAACAUGUAAAAGCAGGGAGAUUUAAGGAUGUGUUGCAAGCAUUGGUACAACUACACUUCUUGAACUGAGCUCAGGUACAGUUCUUGUCUGCUUGGAUCAUUUAACUGGCCAAAGACCAAAAUAUACCCUUAAUAGUCCGCAGACACCUAUGCCCAGUAAUGACAGGGUCCUCCAGUGACAUGUUAACUGUGUCAAUAAAACAUUAGCUAAAUAGUGGCUGGGUUUUCCUGGUUAAAAGAAAACUAGACCUUCAUUAUGUUCCAAGAUGAGCUUAAAAAAACAUACUUUUUUCAUUAUGUGACCUGGUUAUCCUGGUUAUGGUGACUGGACAAUUUGGAUCUGCUAAUUUAUUGACGUCACCGAAAACACAGCCUAAAUCAUCUAAAAUAUAGAUCAUUGUUUUGUUUGUCACCAGUCUGCUGAAAUUUUCAGUGAACUAGGUAAAUGUGCUUUGUCAGAUUCUUGCAUACAUGGACAUGAGAUGUGUUUGCUUCAUCAGCUCACGAGCUGGGUCACGGUCUGUGAGGGCAUAGAGCUCUGGGGUGAAACCACCAGCCUCUUGCACCCAUCUCCACAGUGACUACCUGCAUGCCUUCCAUUACACAGGUUCUACAUCCCCAAUAAAGUGACCACAAGAGAUUGCUGUCUUGCAAUACUGACUAUGUAGUUGUUUUUAUAGUGUAUAAACUUUAUAAAAUUUAUAUGUGUGUGCACUGUGCAUGCACUAACAUGCCUUCAUUUACCCACAUAACUCAACACAAAAUUGCCAGAUGUCUUUGGCUCUAAUGAGCACCUACCGGGGCACACAGCUGACUUGGAACAGGACAAAGCAGGCAGUUACAGGCAUCUAACCCCACUGCCACAGGGAAAGCAGCCACAGCCUUGGGCCUCCUCCUGUAGCUUGCAGGGGGGGUACCUGCUCUCUUCAUGUUCACUGUCUGUUGUGUUCCCUGGAACACGGUGUGUAACAAAACACACAGGGUGUUGUUUUGGCACCAGGGAAGAUGCUGCCUCUGUCUUGGAUGCUGCAGCUGUGGUUGGAACCCUGGAAAGGGGACAAGAUGCUUUGCUUUGGUGCUGUUAAGCAUGAUCAGUUGGAUGAACCACUUAAAGGAUAGGAUGGACAGAGAAUAGUGUUUGGAAGAAAAACCCUAAACUAACAAGGAGUUAAUUUAGAAACUUUCUGUUCUGCCUAACUUGAAGAGUUCUCUGUUGUUGUUGUUGGGGUUUUUUUUAAAGUAUUCCUUUAUGUUUAACAGAAUAUGAUUUCUGAAGUUAAAAGCUUUGUGUUUUGGGAUGUGUGUUUCAAGGGAAAACUGGAGGUAGAUCCGCCUCAAAGUUCUGCUGACUCCACCAGAGUGCCAAUAUAAUUAUAAAUGUUUAUUACCCUCAAAAUGAGGAGGUGCCUUCUUUAAGGUGUCUUGCAGGAUUAUAAUGUGAAUUCCUUAGUUGCCAGAGAUGCUGUUCCUCUGCCCUGUGCUUAGUGGAUUUGCACUUAGUAGAUUUGCAUGUGUACAUGACAAGAGCCAAUUGCCAAACAUAAAGAUUUGAAUGUAAACUCAUUGCUAAACUUUGGCCUGGAAGCAUCAAGUUGUUCUUCUGAGCAUUUGCACGUACAAAAGGUGAGUACAGAGGUAAAGAGCAAUAAAAGGGCAAGGCAAAAGAGAAGAACUCAUAAAGCACCUCAGCAGAGCUAACCCUGUUGGCCUGUAUCAAUGAGUCUGAGUUUUGCCCUUUUAAAUGCUUAUGCCUUUGCACACUUUGCACCAUGGGGCUCUUUAUAACAGAUGCAGAGCUUGGACAAAGCAUAUUUGCAGCUCCUCUACCUAUUUAUGAGCUGGUCUGUACACUUUGCAGUGUUUCACAUAGUGUGAGUGUAGGUAUGUACCUGCAGGCAGGUACAUAAAUAGGUACCUUUAUGCUUCCUUAUUCCUUAUGGAAGCAGCAAGGGGAAAAGGGCAAAAGGAGAAGCCAGAAUUUCUGCUAUCAGGAAGAAAAUUGAGAUAGAGAAAAUCUAAGAUUUUAUUUGAGCAACCUAGUAAUGUGUCUGCUUGCUAAUUAGUUCUGCUGUAAAUCACUAGCUCAUCAGUAUGUAUAUAUUCUGCUUAUUUGCUGUAUUUACUUAGUGACUGGAUAAUUCAAAUCUGCACAUUUAUUGACUUAACUGAAAUUGCAGCCUAAAUCAUAUGAAAUAUGGGAUAAAUACAUGUAUGGGGUAUUGUGGGAUGGUUUUAUUAUGGGACUAGACUGUGCCUCCAGACAGAAACACAUAACUUUUACCUUUGUCUACAUUUGUUUAAAAAUAUGCUAAGAUACCCAAGCAUGGUAUUGUCACAUAUAAACCCAGCUCAAAGCAAUAACUGGCUGUGACAAGGCCAGACACCCAUCCCAACUCUAUCUCAUCUGGCACAUCUCCAAAUGCUGAUUCUCAUGGUAUAUCCCAAUAUACCAGCUGCUCCCAGUACAAAGAUAACAGUUAGUUCAUUAUGGAUUGUUUAUGACCGACAAUAUUUACUGUAUGUACAUUCUCAACAAACACGGUGCUGUAAAUAAAUACAGAUAUUAGGCAGUUGUAUGUUCCUAUAGCAUGCAAAUAAACUGGAGCUGGAGCUUUUAUCCUGCUAGCAACUCAGGCAAACAGAUUGUAAAAGCAGUUGAGAAUUAGCUCAGGACUUUUAUGAUGGUUGUGAAGAGGUACAUUGUAAGUACUUCUGUAAUUAUUCCAUCUAGGUCAGCUAGUGAAUUGUUUUACUGUACAGAGUCCUCAAAAUGGCUGCACUUAUUUUGGCAUUUGCUGAGGGACAGACAAGGGCUUUACACAUGGCCAGUAGGGCAAGAAGUCAUCGUGCUGAUAUCACUUUGUCUUGCAGUCCUGGGGAACGGGCAGGCAGGCACAGAUCUGGUGCAGGGCUCCUCCUUCAAGGCCAUAAUUUCUGUCCUCUCCAUGUCCCCCACACCCCACACCGGUGUGCCACCAUUGCACUGAUGUGAUUGAUGGAUGAUUGAUGAUUCUUUUGAUGAAAGAAAUGCUGAUUUGUGUGGACCUUGUGUGGGAGCCCUUGGGCAGGGUCUGCAGGGAUGCUGGGACUUUAGCUCCAUCCCACCACUGCCAACCACCUUCCACCUCCUCAAAACCUUUGCAGCACAGCCAAGGGAGCUUUCCUUUUCAAUAUACUGAAGUGAUUACUCCGCUCACUCAGGAUGGUUUUUCCAAGAACUGUUGCUGCUGGCAUUUGUAUGCAGCUACAAAGCUCUGGUAUCCUCUGGAAAUGGAUGCAGGCAGGAUAUUCCAGCUUAGAAGUCCUCAAGAGCAGCAUAAAAUAUGUAUAAUUAUUAUGUCCUUCUGUUUAUUCUGACCCUGUACAAGAUGAAGCUAUGUGUCAUAUGCUUAAUAUUAAAUGGACUGAACAGG